GACUUGCUUUCUCUCUUACAUGCCUUGAGUGUAGGACCGUUGGCAUCUCAAUUACCCUCCCACACCCAAGGCUUGCAGGAGGGCCAGCCU
RNAcentral lists this microRNA precursor (90 nucleotides) under Tursiops truncatus (common bottlenose dolphin). RNAcentral describes it as "microRNA 532 (ENSTTRG00000021588.1)". The stretch from base 10 to 84 matches the Rfam family "mir-532 microRNA precursor family". Lineage: Eukaryota; Metazoa; Chordata; Mammalia; Artiodactyla; Delphinidae. The record is from RNAcentral.